GCUUGGUGAUUUUUCUUUAUUUGCAACCAAAUAUACGACUGAAUAUAGACGUUAAUUCACACGAAAAUAAAACGUCAUUAAUAAUGAAGGGGAAAACGUCACCAUUCCACGUGUAUUCGUUAAUUACCGUGAUGAAGUGCUCAUUGUGCCGUUGUAAGACCAAUAUAUCAAUCGAAGGGCCAUCAACAAUCUGGACAGUAUCGUAUUGUGUUUGCAUGCCACUGUGAUGGGAAGGACGCCAUUGAGUGACCUAAUUAAACGUACAUUCACCUGGAUUGAAGAUACUUCAGAGGCUACUCUAAAGACCCAUGGAACAUGAAAUCAAGUGAGGAUGGAGCUGCACUAAGUGUACCCUCUGGCUUUUUACUGUGGAAACCUGCUCAACUGGACCUGUUCUGUUUGGCUGCUAACUCACCUGUACCUGCUGCGGGACACACACGCACUGUGACAUGACACGGACACGGACUUUACUGGAACAUGAGAGCAACGGACGGGCAGCACUACACCUGAUUUAUAGAUCACAGGCCAAGGAGAGCCUCAUUUGCUGCUUUUGAAACAGUCAUUCACCAGUAGUAAGAAGGAGCCGAGACAAUAAAUA
Doryrhamphus excisus (bluestripe pipefish) is the source of this 598-nucleotide non-coding RNA. The record is from RefSeq and is a predicted model, not a curated record. Lineage: Eukaryota; Metazoa; Chordata; Actinopteri; Syngnathiformes; Syngnathidae.